This 245-nucleotide ribosomal RNA is filed under the name uncultured bacterium. RNAcentral's name for it is "partial 16S ribosomal RNA". It matches the Rfam family "Bacterial small subunit ribosomal RNA", at positions 524 to 768 of the family's 1533-position model. The record is from RNAcentral.
UACGUAGGUGGCGAGCGUUGUCCGGAAUUACUGGGCGUAAAGGGCGUGUAGGCGGCCUUUUAAGUCAGACGUGAAAACUUUGGGCUUAACCCAGAAACUGCGUUUGAAACUGGAGGGCUAGAGGACCGGAGAGGGUAGUGGAAUUCCCAGUGUAGCGGUGAAAUGCGUAGAUAUUGGGAAGAACACCAGUGGCGAAGGCGACUGCCUGGACGGCACCUGACGCUGAGGCGCGAAAGCUAGGGGAG